This is a long non-coding RNA of Gossypium raimondii (Peruvian cotton), 1522 nucleotides long. RefSeq lists it as uncharacterized. The record is from RefSeq and is a predicted model, not a curated record. The transcript is spliced from 4 exons. NCBI's taxonomy places the organism in Eukaryota, Viridiplantae, Streptophyta, Magnoliopsida, Malvales, Malvaceae.
AAGCUGUCAAAAUAAAUUGCCAUUAAGGCCCGUUUCCCCUAAACAAAACCAAACAUCUCCGGUGUGUAACCAAACGGUCAGCCGCCUUCUUUUUUACCUUUCGUCUCUUCAUCAGUGUUUGUAGCAGGAGUGGAUCUAUCUCAUUUCUGAUAUUCUCGAAACUUCUUCUCUGCCCAUUCUCCCUCUGUCCAGAGCUGGUAUUCUUUCCACUCUUUCUGGUGCUUCCUUGAUCCAGAACAUCGAAGAGUCGAACCAUUUUCCUUUUUGUUCCAUUUCGUGUGCUGCUCGAUUCGCCAUACGAGGUACGAAUCUAAACUUUAUAUAAUCAAAAUUCUUAAUCCUUGCUUUACUUUCUUUUAUCAAAGCAGCACUAACCGAUUCAUCUUCUAUUGCAUCCACCACUUUUUUGAUAAUGCUAAAUGAGUCCCCUUCAACCACUAUUCUCCGAAAACCUAGUUCUUCGUUAUAGACAUGUUCGUGCUUAUGCAAUUGUCGCAUCUCUCACAUGCAAAUUUGGGUAAGUGCUUGCUGCCAUUAUAAUGCUUUCGCUAUUUCUAACAAUAAUCCCUGAAACAGAGCUGUUUAUGUAAUUGUUAAAACAUGCAUCAAAAUUUACUUUGACACUAUCUCCUUCCGCUGGUUGCCAAACAGUCUCCUGUUUUUCUUGCAUGCCUUUCGAUAUAAUACCCAUGCUAUCAAUUUCUGAUAUGUAGGCGUUUCUGAAAGAAACUACUACAAAAACGUUUUGUCCCGUUCCAUUGUGAUAGACCAUAUUACGAUUGUACCAUAGGGCCUAAAAUAUCUCCUGUUGGUAACUCCGUAGCUAACCAAUUUAUCCAAUUCUGGUUCUCAAUAUUGGUCGAGUAUGUUACUCCCAUACUUUGCAGGACUUGUUCGGUAAAACGACACUCACGGAAGAUGUGCUUUGUACUCCAAUAUUUCUUUGCUGUAAAUUCGAUAAAAUGGGCAUGUAAUUUUUAAUAAUUUUCCAGCAUGUAAUUUUUAUUUUACUUGCUAGACUUAGGCUCUAUAUUUUUGUAAAGAGGGAUUUUUGUAACUCAUCUAGAUUAUCAUUGGUGGUUGUAUUUGCUGCUUCGAGCCAUCUUUACCCGCUCUUGAUCGAGUAGAUUUCGAAAUUGUCGCCCCUCCAGACCAAAUCACAGCUAGAUAAAGGCUUUAACAACCAAUUGCCAUUCAUAUAUUAAUGCUUGCACCAUUUUCCACAUGCCAACCACAACCCUGUUCCAAUUGCCUUCUAGAUGCCCAUAUGCUACGCCAGGUAUAUGAUGGUAAUUCGGAAGCUCGUUGGGUUGGAAGCUUAGCGGAGAUAUCAUCACACUAUCUAUCGGCUCAUCCCGGUAUAUUUAAUAAAUCAACUUUGGUUAUAAUGGCAUGUAUAAGUUAACCUGGCCAAUGUUAAUAUAAAAAUGUUUUGGUUGUAAUUAGUCAUUGGAAUGGCUUGUGAUGGACAAGUUUUGAUGUGAAUAUAAGAGGCUAUAUCAUGUUUGAUAUGUGUUUGAAA